This 501-nucleotide ribosomal RNA is filed under the name uncultured bacterium. Its description in RNAcentral is "partial 16S ribosomal RNA". It matches the Rfam family "Bacterial small subunit ribosomal RNA", at positions 28 to 523 of the family's 1533-position model. The record is from RNAcentral.
GAUGAACGCUAGCGGCAGGCCUAACACAUGCAAGUCGAGGGGUAGCAGGAUUAAGCUUGCUUAAUUGCUGACGACCGGCGCACGGGUGCGUAACGCGUAUGCAACCUACCUUAUACUGGGGUAUAGCCCGGAGAAAUUCGGAUUAAUCCCCCAUAGUACUAAUGAAUCGCAUGGUUUAUUAGUUAAAGCAUUGCGGUAUAAGAUGGGCAUGCGUCCUAUUAGCUAGAUGGUGAGGUAACGGCUCACAGGGCUACGAUAGGUAGGGGGCCUGAGAGGGGGGUCCCCCACACGGGUACUGAAAACGGGACCAGACUCCAAGGGGAGGCAGCAGUGAGGAAAAUUGGUCAAGGGGCGCAACCCUGAACCAGCCAUGCCGCGUGCAGGAAGAAUGCCCUAUGGGUUGUAAACUGCUUUUAUUUGGGAAUAACCUCUUUACGUGUAGAGAGCUGAAGGUACCAAAUGAAUAAGCACCGGCUAACUCCGUGCCAGCAGCCGCGGUAA